GUUUUUUUUUAUUAUUUCGCUUUAUUUAAUAAUAAAAUCAAAAUGAUCAAAUCUUUUCUUAAACUAAUAAUUUGUCUAUUAUUAUUACAUUCGGCAGAAAAAUAAUACAAAUUAAGUUUAUUUCAGUAUAAAAAUUAUAAUUCUAAAAAUUCAUAUGUAUAUAUAAAAGUAAAAUUAGUAACAUCAACUUAAAACUAAUGUGUAAUGUUGAAAAGGAGUCCGUUUCCAAUGCGACUCUGUAACAGCAAACAUGCAUACUAACCAAAAAUGUACAAACCAUUUAUUUAGCAGCAACAAACAGGUCUAUGAUUUUUUCACUUUAACUGUUCAUUCCUGUUAAAUACUUUGAAUAAAGCGGAAUCUCAACAGGUUAUGGGCCCAGGCACUAUCGCAAUGAGUUCCAUGUAUCAGAUUGAAAAGUUAACCUGCCUUCCCUUGAGAUAUUAAAAAUAAAGUUAUUAGAGGAAGGAGAUCACAGGGGCACUUCAUCUAAAACAGAUCAUUACAGUGAACAACAGGCGUUUCAAGCAACCACGAAGCCGAUGGAGAAAAAGCGAGAGGAGAAGAGUCAUAUGAAAUGUUACAAAUGUGGUCAACGGGGUCAUACAAAAAUCAAUGCAGAAAUAAAGGAAAAGAAAAAUCGACAGAAUCGCAACAACAACAUAUGUCAUUUACAGUUUUAGCAGCGACAGAUGUGGGUGACUUAAAACACUCGAGUUGGUUCCUGGACAGCGGGGCGACGGCACAUAUGAGUGGCUCCCGUAAUAUUUUUACAAAUUAUGUCACACAAGCAGAGGAUGUUAUGUUGGCCGACAACAACAUUAUACGCGCAGUAAGCAGAGGCGACGUUAUAGUUCAAACAGAUUUUUGUGAGUUAAGGUUGGAGAACGUAUUGCAUGUCCCGCAAAUGAAGGGGAACUUUGUAUCGGUGAGUCGAGCUGUCGAACGUGGCUGUACAGUAAGCUUUAACAACGAAAACGCUAUCGUAAGUCAGAAUGGCAAACAAAUUUUAAAAGCAGAAAAAAGAAAUAAAUUGUUUGUAUUUGAGUGUAUUAACAACGCGUGUUUUGGUGCAGCACAGUGCAGCGCAGAAGUUUGGCAUAAUAGAUAUGCCACUUAAAUUAUGGCAGUUUGAUGAAGCUAACAAAAAAUAAAAUGGUGUUUGGCAUAGAAAAUGUGAAGUUCGCAGACAGUACGCAGUGUAAAACGUGUAUGAAAAGUAAAAUCCACACUCAACCGUUUCCAGCGGCGUCUGAUACCGACGUAUGCGGCCCAUUUGAAAAGCGUUCUCUUGGCGGCUCAUCAUAUUUUUUAACGUUCAUCGAUGACAUGUCUCGGCGUAUUUUCACAUUUUUUCUCAAGUCUAAAGAUGAGGUGUUUGAAAAUUUCGUAACUUUCAAGAAAAUGGUCGAAUGCCAGAUUGGGCGGAAAAUCAAGGUUUUACGGAGCGACAACGGCCGAGAAUACAUCAACAAGCGUUUCGAUGACUUCCUAAAACAACAGGGCAUAACGCGUCAGCUGACGGUACCCUACAGUCCCCAACAGAACGGCGUCGCAGAACGAGUGAACCACACUCUUGUUGAAAUGGCAAGAAGUUUACUUGUACACUCAAAUAUGCCAGCGUUUCUAUAGGCAGAGGCGGUGCAGACAGCUUGCUAUAUCCGCAACAGAUCGCCAACUGCAGCAUUUAUUGGCAUGAAACCAUAUGAAGUUUGGAGUGGUAGAAAACCGAAUGUAAAAAAUAUGCGUACAUUUGGGUCCGUGGCUGUUGGCUUAGACAAAACGCGAAAAAAUAAAUUCCAUGCGAAAGGUAAAGAGUACAGAUUCGUUGGGUACUCCUUGGCAUCAAAAGCUUACAGACUCUACGAUCAAGAGAAGCAUCAAAUUGUAGAAAAACGUGAUUUUUUGUUCUAUGAACAUUUCAAAGAAUCCCAGUCAGAUGAUCAAAUCGUUUUUGAUGAAUUACAGGAAAUUUUGCCAGCUGAUUCAAAUCCUAAUGAAGAAACAUUUAUUCCAUGCAGAAGUGAAGUUAAACAGGAGAAACGUAUGUACAAUGAAGAAAGCGACGAACACGGCAGAGCAUAUGAGCCAGAGCUGGAGCAGAAACGUAAGAUAGGACCAGGUAGGCCAAGAAUUAUUCAAAGCGGUAUACCAGGACGUCCGAACAAGAGCUACAUUGUUGUGCAGGCAGUGCAAUCUGUAGAGAUACCAUUACCACAGACGUUUAAAGAGGCAGGCGGCUAUGGACGCAGAGUAUAAGGCAUUGAUGGCAAUUGGCACGUGGACUGUGGCAGACUUACCAAAUCGUGAACAAGUAAUUGGGAGUAAAUGGGUUUACACAGUUAAAAGAGAUAAAACUGGCGCAGUUGAGCGGUACAAAGCACGUUUGGUAGCCAAGGGGUGCUCGCAGAAGUUCGGCGUGAACUAUAACGAAACAUUUUCUCCGGUGUGUCGAUAUGAAACGAUACGCUUGAUACUCGCGCUUUCUGUCGAGCUGAAGUUACACUUGCAUCAGAUGGACGUUUGUACAGCUUAUCUCAACAGCGAGUUAAAAGACGUGAUCUACAUGAAGCAACCUGAAGGGUAUGUAGACAGAACGUGUGGCGAAAAAGUGUUACGAUUAAACAAAGCGAUUUACGGCUUAAAGCAAGCUGGAAGGGAGUGGAACUCCAAACUGAGCGCGGUGCUGUGUGAAGUCUGUAUAAAAAGGACAUAGAAGCGUGCCAGAAGAAGUCUGAUUUAAUACAAAUUAAAACAAUGAUCUCAAGCAAGUUUGAAUGCGUUGAUAAAGGCCCACUUCAGAUGUUCUUGGGUAUGCAGAUUCAGCGCGAUGGCGAUACAGGCGACAUUUCAAUGAA
Bactrocera dorsalis (oriental fruit fly) is the source of this 2858-nucleotide long non-coding RNA. RefSeq lists it as uncharacterized. NCBI's taxonomy places the organism in Eukaryota, Metazoa, Arthropoda, Insecta, Diptera, Tephritidae. The record is from RefSeq and is a predicted model, not a curated record. The transcript is spliced from 3 exons.